This 420-nucleotide ribosomal RNA is filed under the name bacterium. RNAcentral describes it as "partial 16S ribosomal RNA". It matches the Rfam family "Bacterial small subunit ribosomal RNA", at positions 355 to 776 of the family's 1533-position model. The record is from RNAcentral.
UGGGGGAUAUUGCACAAUGGGCGAAAGCCUGAUGCAGCGACGCCGCGUGGGGGAUGAAGGCUUUCGGGUUGUAAACCUCUUUCGCUAUCGAACAAGGCCCGCUUAGGGUGGGUUGAGGGUAGGUGGAGAAGAAGCGCCGGCUAACUACGUGCCAGCAGCCGCGGUAAUACGUAGGGCGCGAGCGUUGUCCGGAAUUAUUGGGCGUAAAGGGCUUGUAGGCGGCUUGUUGCGCCUGCUGUGAAAACGCGGGGCUUAACUUCGCGCGUGCAGUGGGUACGGGCAGGCUUGAGUGUGGUAGGGGUGACUGGAAUUCCAGGUGUAGCGGUGGAAUGCGCAGAUAUCUGGAGGAAGACCGAUGGCGAAGGCAGGUCACUGGGCCAUUACUGACGCUGAGGAGCGAAAGCAUGGGUAGCGAACAGG